RNAcentral lists this unclassified non-coding RNA (364 nucleotides) under fungal sp. Its description in RNAcentral is "partial internal transcribed spacer region". The stretch from base 1 to 46 matches the Rfam family "Eukaryotic small subunit ribosomal RNA", at positions 1786 to 1831 of the family's 1831-position model. The record is from RNAcentral. Lineage: Eukaryota; Fungi.
AAGUCGUAACAAGGUUUCCGUAGGUGAACCUGCGGAAGGAUCAUUAACACGCGUAAUCUCUAACGAUUACAAACCAAACCCGUGCAUUGUAAUUUAUUUUUUACAGACCGCGAGUAGCAGGCCGCUUGGAAUUACAAGGAGUGUUUCGAUUGCUGUGAUUCCUUGUAGAUUCAAGUGCUAUGGACUGUUAGCCGCGGUAUACAAGUCAAAAAAACUCACUCAGUAGUCUACCUUUAACCCCAACUUGAACCUUUUAUUUAACUGAUCUCCAUUAGUCUGAGUCGAAAGGCUCUAGGCUACACUGGAUCGUAAUACUACGAAACAGUAAAGUACAACUCUAAGCAGUGGAUAUCUUGGUUCCCAU